GCUCCCGUAGUGUAGUCCGGCCAAUUUUACUCUUUAUGCAAGAAUAAUGGUCUCGCAUUGCGGGCCUUCACCCCGCCGACCCGGGUUCGAAUCCCGGCGGGAGCA
This 105-nucleotide transfer RNA is filed under the name Promethearchaeota archaeon. RNAcentral's name for it is "Candidatus Lokiarchaeota archaeon tRNA-Glu". It matches the Rfam family "tRNA". Rfam says of the family: Transfer RNA (tRNA) molecules are approximately 80 nucleotides in length. Their secondary structure includes four short double-helical elements and three loops (D, anti-codon, and T loops). Further hydrogen bonds mediate the characteristic L-shaped molecular structure. tRNAs have two regions of fundamental functional importance: the anti-codon, which is responsible for specific mRNA codon recognition, and the 3' end, to which the tRNAs corresponding amino acid is attached (by aminoacyl-tRNA synthetases). tRNAs cope with the degeneracy of the genetic code in two manners: having more than one tRNA (with a specific anti-codon) for a particular amino acid; and 'wobble' base-pairing, i.e. permitting non-standard base-pairing at the 3rd anti-codon position. The record is from RNAcentral. Lineage: Archaea; Promethearchaeati; Promethearchaeota.